UAACCAUGUGUUACAACAGCGAUGUGCAAAAGAGCAUCUCUGAACGUACAACACGUUGAGACUUGAAGUGGGUGGACUAUGGCAGCAGAAGACCACAAAUGUACACUCAGUGGCCACUUUAUUAGGUACAGGUCAGCAACAGGACCAGCAAAGAUGAGAGUUGGAGUUGUCCAUAUGUUCUGGGAAUAGCGUUCUGUGCAAGCACGAAGAACAAGGACCACUGACCCCCUAGAAACAGCAAAGGAGAAUCCUUCUACAUCUGUGUGCAACGGUAUUCCUGAGUCUCCGACCUGGGACUUGCAUGACUGACUAAUGAAAACCGAGAGGAAGAUACUGACAUGAUGAAGGAUAUCCUGAGUGCCACAAGAGAUGGAAGACCUUCAAUCCUGCCCUAGACGCCAGCGGUGUAACGGGCAGAGCACCAUUGAGAGCAUCCUGACAAGCUGCAUCUCCAUCUGCUAUGGGAGCAGCCGAGCAUCAGACUGGAAGACCCUACAAAGGACUGUGACAAUGGCUGGGAGGAUCAUAGAGGUCUCCAUACCAUCCAUCGGGGACAUUUAUCAGGAAUGCUGUGUAUGAGGGCCUUUAGUAUUAUGAAGAACUCAUCCAUUCAUCCAGCAUCCUCUUUGUCUUUCUAGUAUCAGGCAGGAGAUUCCGAUGCAUAAAGACAAGAACGGUCAGGAUUGGAGGUUUAUUCCCCCAGGCCAUUAGGCUUCUGAACUUCCUAUCGCAUUUGAAGUUUCAUCGAUGAAUCUGUUCUGUACCCUGUACUUUACUUUGUUUAUUUAUGUGUAAUUCAUUUGUAGAUUGAAUUCUACUUUCCCAGGUUAUUGUGUUAUUGUUAUGUGGACUAUUGUACUUUACACCCUGUUUCGGAGAAACGUCUCAUUUGACGGUACACGUGUAUAUAGUUAAAUGACAAUAAACUUGACUUGACCACUUCACCUUUGUUGCUUUCUCCUUGUAUUACCGAUUUUAUAAUAUACAGUCUAAAUAUAUAAAUACAUUUCUAUUUUAUAAGUAGUACACAUAUAUAUAAUAUAUAGAUUUAAAUAGAUUAUAUAUCAUAUGUAUAUUUAUUAUUGUAACUUACAGUAUUUUUAUAUAUUACAUCAUCCCACUGCCACAACAAAUUUCACGCCAUAGGUUAGUGAUAAUAAACCUGAUUCUGAUUCUGAUUCUGGUUCGGAGAAAUUAUCAGUGUACAGAAUUAAAGAUGAAGUUAUAUAAGUCCUUGGCGAGUCUGUACUUCGACCUUUGGACUCUGUACUUAAAAAAGGAGAAAUGAUAUAGGGAGCGCAUCAAAGAUUUACUAGUUAAAGGAAAGGAAAGUUUCCGUAUGGGAAGCAAUUGAGUCGUCCAGACCCAUAUUCUUUCAAGUAUAAAAGAAUGAGAAAUAAAUACUUACAAUAUUCUCAUAGAGCUUAGCAGACUGGAUGCAGGGAAGAGAAUAAGAAAUUCUAUAUGUGUUUGCAGAGCAAUUAUGUCAUUUACCAGGAGGUCAUUUUGUGGAUAAAGUUGAUAAAGAUUAGUUUUAUUUGAACAUAGAAGCAUUAAAACGUACAGGUGAAAUGUAUCACCUGGUCAAAUCAAAGCAGUGAGGUUUGUGCUGGACAGCCCUCCAGUGUUGCCAUGCCUCUGGUGCGGAUAGAGCAUGCCCAGAGUUUACUAAGCCUGACCCGUACCCUCUUUGGAAUGGGGGGAGACUGGAGCACCUGGAAACCCAUCCACGGAGACAAUGUACAAGCUCCUUACAGACAACCCCAAUCGGUGAUUGGUGAUCGCUGGCGCCGUAAAACGAUUGCACUAACUGCCACUGCGCCACCUUUUCUAAAAGGAUUCAUUUAGAAGGAAAUUAGAUAGAUUCCCUUCAUAAAGUAAUAUUUUGGGAAAUAGUGCAUCAAGAAGUGGGGCAUACAGUGAAAUGGUGGUGGGGUUCAUGUGAAUGAUUGGGAUCGGUGUGGUGCCAAAACUCUACACAACCAUCAAUCUGUGAUGACAUAGAAUUUAAUAUUUAUGUAGAAUUGAUGACACAGAAGGAGUAGAUUCAACCCAUUGUAGAACAUAGAAGACACAGGAACAGAUCCUCUGCAUUCAUCAUCAAGCCCACCAUAUCCAAUAGACAAAAACAAUAUUCAUUUCAGUUCGAUCUGAACCCCAACUCUCAAUCAGAGCCCUUGGGGAUUAUAAAAAAGCCAGAAAAGAACUCAAGAUUGGAAUUAGGAAAGGCAGGAGGGGCCAUGAAAUGUCCUUGCAAGUACAAUUAAAGAGGAUCCCAAGGCAUUCUACACAUAGUUCAAGAACAAGAGGAUAACUAGUGAGAGGGUAGGACCUCUCAAGGGAACAUUUGCUUUGAUGUGGCGGACGUGGGUGAGGUCCUUAAUGAGUACAUUACAUUAAUAUUUAACAGGGUGAAAGACGUGGAGGAUAGGGAGAUCAGUGCCAAGCGUAUUGGUAUGCAAGGGCAUUUUGAAGUAAAGGGGGAAUUGUGUCUCUUAAAGAGCAUUAAGGUAUAUAAGUCUGCAGGGACUUGGGAUAUACCCUAGAUUAUUAAGAGCGGCAAGAGCAGUCAUUACAGGGCCUUGACCAAUAUCUUCGUGUCCUCCAUAGCCUAAAGUGAAGUCCCAGAGCAAGUUGCUAAUGUUGUUCCAUUAUUCAAGAAGGGAACCAGGAUAAUCCGGUGAGUCUUAUGUCAGUGGUAGGGAAGUUACUGGAAAAAAAUUCUUAAGAAUAGGAUUUAUGAGCACCUGGAGAGCCAGCAAGUCGUGUCUUAACUAACUUGGCUGAGUUUUUUAAGAAGGCGAUGAGGGUGAUUGAUGAAAGUAGAGCUGUGGGUGUUGUCUACAUGGACUUUAGUAAGGUGUUUGACAAGGUCACUCAUGGGAGACUCAUCCAGAAGAUAAGAUAGGGUCUUUUAAGAGACUUUUGGAUAGGUACAUGGAGCUUAGAAAAAUAGAGGGCUAUAGGUAAGCCUAGUAAUUUCUACGGUAGGGACAUGUUCGGCACAACUUUGUGCUGUAGGUUUUCCGUGUUUCUGUGUAAGAUUAGGAUGCAUGGGAUCCAUAGUGAAUUGAAUUCAGAAAUGGCUCGCGCGUAGAAGACAGACAGUAGUGGUCAAAAGGACUUAUUCAAGCCAGAGGUCUGUGAUUAGUGGUGUCCUGCAGGGAUCUGUACUGGGACCCCUACUCUUCGUGAUGUGUAUAAAUUAGUUGGGUGAAAAUUUAGAUGGGUGGGUUAUUAAGUUUGCAUAUGAAAUGAAGAUUGGUGGUGUUGUGCGUCGUGUAGAAGACAGGUAAAGAAUACAGCAUAAUCAGUUGUCGAUGUGUGCAAAGAAACGGCAGAUAACCCAGCCAGAUAUGAAGUGUUGCACCUUGUAGGUCAAAUGUGAAGAGACGGAAGAGUGUUGAUGAGCAGAAGGAUCUUGAGGUCCAAAUUCAUAGCUCCCUGAAAGUGGCGACACAAGUUGAUAGCCUGGUUAAAUUCAUAUGGCAUGCUUGCUUUUAUUAUUCAAGGCAUUGAGUUCAGAAGUCAGAAAGUUAUGUUGCAGCUUUACGUAAAGUUAUAUAAGGUCAUAUCUGUGGUAUUGCAUACAUUUCUAGCCACACCACUGUAGGAAUUGAGGCUUUGGAGAGGGUGCAGAAGACGUUUACCAGAAUGUUGCCUGGAUUACAGGGCAUCUGCUAUAACAAGAGGUUGGACAAAUUUGAGCCAUUUUCUCUGGAAUGAUGAAGGCUUAGGGGAGAUCAAACGGAGGUUUUAAGAUUAUGAGAAGCAUAGAUAGAGUAGGCAAGUAAUUUCAAAGAGUUGAAAUGUCUAAUACCAGAAGAAAUGGAUUCAAAGUGAGGAGGGUACUUUCAAAGGCAAUGUCAGAGGAAAGUUUUAGCAUAGAAAGUGCUGGGUGCCUGGAAUGCACUGCCUGGGAUGGUGGUGGAGAAGGGAACACUAGAGACUUUUAAAUGACAUUUAGAUAGGCACAUGAAUAUGGGGAAUGGAAGGACCAGGACAUUUUGUAUACCAAAGAGAUUAGGUUAGCUUGACAUUUAAUUACUAAUUUAUUUGGUUCAUUUCAACAUUGCGGGCUGAAGGAUCUGUUCCUGUACUGUACUGUUCUAUGUUCUAUCAUCUUGCAGCUCGUAACUUCAUAUCAAAUGUGAGGAUGGUCCUACCUCUAGCAAUUCCUUAAGGUUGUUAUAGCCGGGGGUGGUAGUGGGGAUAAGCUCCCACUAUCUAUUAAAUGUUCCCAAUGGCGUGCGUCUAAAAAUAGCUUCUGACAACCAAGUCCAGCUCCUGGUCCUCCCGUGUAGCUUAGCUACUAAUCCCAAUGGAAUUGCUUCUACUGACAGGAGAAGAGGCAAAGGCACCUUAAAACCAGUCGCUUCAGGCAAGAUGGGGCUCGUCAGCCAUGGUCGGCA
This is a long non-coding RNA of Hypanus sabinus (Atlantic stingray), 4412 nucleotides long. RefSeq lists it as uncharacterized. NCBI's taxonomy places the organism in Eukaryota, Metazoa, Chordata, Chondrichthyes, Myliobatiformes, Dasyatidae. The transcript has 4 exons. The record is from RefSeq and is a predicted model, not a curated record.